AUGUGCGCCUCCACCUCCUCUUACAAUUCCCUACCACCUCCUGCCAUCUCCCUUCUCUGUUCUUCCCAAAUUCAUCUACGAAGUGCUGCUGCUCCAUGGACGCGAGUGCUCGUUCCCGGCAACUCAGAGCACCUCCAUCCAUUCCCUUGCACCAGGAACUUCCUCUCCUCACCAUGGAUCCAUUCAGAGAAGAAAGACCACGAUCCGUCGACCACACACGAAGAAUUCCGCAUGUUCGUGUACACUGUUCGUCGAGUUCAUCACACCGUUGCGUCAAACUCGAGUUGCAUGGAGAUGAAGGUGAUGACUACGACUACUAUGGCGAUCCGUAGGAGUGAGGUCACGUGGACUACAUCGACUGCCUGUGGCUGA
RNAcentral lists this ribosomal RNA (372 nucleotides) under Triticum aestivum (bread wheat). RNAcentral describes it as "partial small subunit ribosomal RNA". The record is from RNAcentral. Lineage: Eukaryota; Viridiplantae; Streptophyta; Magnoliopsida; Poales; Poaceae.